AGCCGAAACCGCUCCAGAAUGGUGAUGAGAAGGGGGCGGUCUACGUGGGAUCGCCUCCACGUACUGACGAGGCAGGCAGAA
Molecule: non-coding RNA, 81 nt
Filed under: Spirochaetota bacterium
Lineage: Bacteria; Pseudomonadati; Spirochaetota
Source: RNAcentral